RNAcentral lists this ribosomal RNA (381 nucleotides) under uncultured bacterium. Its description in RNAcentral is "bacterial SSU rRNA". It matches the Rfam family "Bacterial small subunit ribosomal RNA", at positions 29 to 414 of the family's 1533-position model. The record is from RNAcentral.
AUUGAACGCUGGCGGCAUGCUUUACACAUGCAAGUCGAACGGCAGCGCGGGGCAACCUGGCGGCGAGUGGCGAACGGGUGAGUAAUAUAUCGGAACGUACCCAAGAGUGGGGGAUAACGUAGCGAAAGUUACGCUAAUACCGCAUACGAUCCAAGGAUGAAAGUGGGGGACCGCAAGGCCUCAUGCUCCUGGAGCGGCCGAUACCUGAUUAGCUAGUUGGUGAGGAAAGGCUCACCAAGGCGACGAUCAGUAGCUGGUCUGAGAGGACGACCAGCCACACUGGGACUGAGACACGGCCCAGACUCCUACGGGAGGCAGCAGUGGGGAAUUUUGGACAAUGGGCGCAAGCCUGAUCCAGCAAUGCCGCGUGAGUGAAGAAGG